GAUGAAGAACGCAGCGAAAUGCGAUAAGUAAUGUGAAUUGCAGAAUUCAGUGAAUCAUCGAAUCUUUGAACGCACAUUGCGCCCGCUGGUAUUCCGGCGGGCAUGCCUGUUCGAGCGUCAUUUCAACCCUCAAGCUCUCCGGAGUUUGGUGUUGGGGCGCCUGGGGCUUUUCGACCUCAGGGCCCUCAAGUCCAUCGGCGGGACCGCCAGGACACUGAGCGCAGUAGUAUUAUUUCGCUCGGUAGGAUCUUCCACGGCGGGUCGAUCUGGCCGCUAAACCCCCCAAUUCUCACCAAAGGUUGACCUCGGAUCAGGUAGGAAUACCCGCUGAACUUAAGCAUAUCAAUAAGCGGAGGA
This 357-nucleotide unclassified non-coding RNA is filed under the name soil metagenome. RNAcentral describes it as "partial contains 5.8S ribosomal RNA, internal transcribed spacer 2, and large subunit ribosomal RNA". The stretch from base 1 to 120 matches the Rfam family "5.8S ribosomal RNA", at positions 35 to 154 of the family's 154-position model. The record is from RNAcentral.